GGCGCAUUAGUCAAGUGGUUAAGACACCGCCCCUUCACGGCGGAGGCGUGAGUUCAAUUCUCUCAUGCGUCA
Molecule: transfer RNA, 72 nt
Filed under: Bacteriophage sp.
Description: tRNA-Glu
Rfam family: tRNA
About the family: Transfer RNA (tRNA) molecules are approximately 80 nucleotides in length. Their secondary structure includes four short double-helical elements and three loops (D, anti-codon, and T loops).
Source: RNAcentral